This is a long non-coding RNA of Rhineura floridana, 331 nucleotides long. RefSeq lists it as uncharacterized. The record is from RefSeq and is a predicted model, not a curated record. The transcript has 2 exons. NCBI's taxonomy places the organism in Eukaryota, Metazoa, Chordata, Lepidosauria, Squamata, Rhineuridae.
UGUUAACACCAAGAAGAAUUCUGACCCUGCCCAGGACUACACCAGAGCAGCUGAAGCUGAGGAAAGAUGAUGUGACAAGUCAUGAUGACAACUCUGUAUACUACAUUAUCAAGUGAUGAACAUGCCCAUUGCAAACUCACCUGAAGAUGCAAGAGCAUAAAAAAGGUCCUAGCAUAGGAAGGAAAAGAGAAGAAAAAGCAUUCACCAAGGAUACACCGGACCAAUGAGACUGCAAAAGAAGAAAGUGACUUUGUGUGUGUGUGAUUACCGGUAAAAUAAAAAUAGGAAACUGCCAUCAAAAUAAAUACUUUUAUGUUUUAAUAAAUCUUUA